This is a long non-coding RNA of Drosophila rhopaloa, 12113 nucleotides long. RefSeq lists it as uncharacterized. The record is from RefSeq and is a predicted model, not a curated record. The transcript is spliced from 3 exons. Lineage: Eukaryota; Metazoa; Arthropoda; Insecta; Diptera; Drosophilidae.
CCGCAUCAAAAUGAGCUCGCCACUCUCGAAGAAAAAGUGUUCAAGUGCAGACGCAGUGUAACUGAAAAAUCAAGUUUAAUUAGUAUAAAGAAAUUUUCACUCUUGCUGGCUAGCAAGCAGUAAUUGAUUCCAAAAAUGGAAAAGUGUAAAAAUCGCGUCGCUGAAGCCGAGCAGCAGUACAAGUAUUGGAAAUUGACUCCAGGGCCCACGUAGUAUUUGUCCACGUCGGGCAUUAUUUGCUCACGAGUUGGAAACAAAGAAACCAGAUCCAUUGGAAAAGAUGCGUAUUAGUCAUCGAUUUUGCUGGUCAGCGUCGGGGAAUUUCGCAAUGCGACAGGCAGUUUUGGCGUUGCAGAGGCAGAGUUUCUAGAUUUUGGCUAGAAAGUGACCUACUAGGCAGAGGCAGUCUAAGGCAGUCUAACCAGGAAAAGCGGGACCAUUCUCUGAGUCGGAUGGCGACGGCCCUGACGUGCGGAUUUGAUAAAUUGGGAUAGGAAGCCAGGUAUACAUACACAGCAGCGAAACCAGCGUGUUCUAUUUCUAUUCGUAAGCCCAACCUAAGCCUAAGACGUAGUUAAUAAAAACUCAUGGAUCUCUGCGUUUUCAAACGUCGCUUUGAGAGUCAUUUUUUAGUAAAUGCGAUUUCACCAUGUUGCGUAAGAGGGAAUAUUUUCCCCAGUAUUAUACAUUUCUAUUUAAAUACAAGUCGAAUGUUCUCGAUUCUCGUUUGCAACCCCCGGAUCGAAAGGCCACCAACUGUCUCUCUCUAAAAAUAGCGUACUCAAACGCCCUGUUUACGUCUGUUACCGCUCGGGUAUACAUACACAUUGCCACAUAUAUAUUCAGAGCCCAUACAUAUGGAAGUAUUGUAAUUGGAUGGCAACGGCAACUGCUGAGGUGUACAUUGUACACUGGCCGUGCUCUUUGUUUGCCUUUCCCUCCGGUUUGUUUGCUCCCCGAUAACGAUCCAUAUUGUCUUUCAGCGGAAAACUUUCCAGCUUGACGAUGUCUCACCGCGUUUCCCUCGCUUCUAUUGGCAUUCUUAUUUAUCUAGUUCGUAGUCGUUUAACAUUUACUUAGUUGUUAAUCAUAUUUGUAACCAUCUCUAUAUGCAACUCUGCCAUACCACCUAACCAAGCAAUAUGUAUUUCUUUCUCUAAACUUUAUAGUUGGGCGUUGAAAGUUGAUAUCGAUCCGUGAAAAGUCGAUCCCUGCGCGAGCAUGGGGGUAUAUGGGUGCUAAAAACGCACCCGGCCCGAAUGCAGCGUUUUUCCGAAAGCUGUGUCUGCGACCGUGACUGAGAUUACAUAUGUUAUGUAUACGAGUAUAUAUAGUGUCUGGGGUCGCGGACCAGCCAGGGUGCUCGAUUCUAUCAGAUUGAUUGAGCGGAUUGUGUUAUAGGAACACUGGUGUAUCGACUUCUCUGCUCCACUAAGGGUGAACGGGAACCAACCGAAAGGCCCUCUGUGGCUCACUAUCAUCGAACAAAGUUCCACAACGGGCAGACAAACAAACAAGUGAUCAGUUGAACUUGGCAGCGUAUUGAAUCUGUUCGAUGACACAUCGUCUCUGGAUUAGUAAUUGAACCAACGAGGUCGAAUACCCUGCCAGUUGGUUGAAAUUAAUUAAUUUUGUUUUUAUAUUCAGUUGUAAAGUCAAUACGGAAGAUACUUCCACACCAACAAUGUCUCACUCUUGUUCUUAAAUACCUGAAAAUGUUAAAAUUUUUGUUUUUUUACACUUCACGAAUUAAGAUAUACCUGUACUGAUGUAAAUUUACUUGUCGAAUCACAACAAAAAUGGAAAAAAGAUUAACAAAAGAGCUUCUUAAUGGAAAAGCCACAGAAAAAGUGAAUAAAAAAUUUUAAAAUUCCAAUAAUAAAUCUCGAAACAUUCGCUCGUCAUAUUUUUUAUUUCAAGCUUAGAUCCGAUUUCAGUUAUUCCAUCGAACUAAAGGGUAGCGUUACCUGAAUUAAUCCACGAAGGAAGGGGCUUUAUAUCAAUAUGCCAAGUAGUCUUCGCCUAUCAAACAAAUACACUUUGAUAUUCUCAAAUCUAAUCGAAAAAUCGGAACAACUGUCCCUAAUCUCUGUUGAACGCUGAAAGUCGGUAUUGGAAAGAGCACAUAAAGGUUUUAAAGUUCAGCUUUAAAGUAUGUAUAUUCCGGAAUUAUAUUUCUUCACAUUUUUAGGACGCCUAUAUUUGGAGGGCACAAUUGUUUUAAUGUAUAACAAUUAUUACAUUAAUGAACAUAAAUAUAAGGAAAUAAUAUUUUUUAUAACUAAUCAAUUAUUGGGUAAUUUAAUUUUAAUAAACCACUUUUAAGUAUUAAAUAAAUCUUCCCCUGUAUUUCAGCCCAAUAACUUAAAAAGCUCAAUUAUAAUAAAUAAAUUGUUUUCAAAAAAUAAAAAUAUCUGGUAUACCAAUAUACUGUAAGUCUAUGGAUCAAGCAGAUAAAUCAAAAAAUAUACAGGAAAUGAAUUGUAUGUCUAGACUUAAGAACUAAAGCCUUCAAAACUAAAAAGACACAGCGACUAAACAGGUAGGAUUUUGGGAUACAUAUUUAAAUAUGCGUAUAUUGAAAAAGUACGUAAUAUAGACAGAAUAAGCUUAAGAAUUGACAAUUAAGAAAAUCCUAUUAAUAUUCAAAUUUCAGGUACGGUUUUUUAAGAUAUUAUUUCGUAAAAAACUCUAAAACGGCAAUUAGUAAAAAUCGAAAAAGGUGUUAGUAAAAUCGAAUUAUGUAAGGUUUUUUAUAAGGGAAGAGCUUUACGUAAUUCCUUUGUGAAUUUGUUGGUGUUUUUUCAUAAAAAAGUUUUUUGAAAACUUGUUAUAUUCUCUUCAUGAUAUAAGGAACACAUAUUGUUAAAAUUGAAAUGGUGGAUUAUGAAUAAUUGAAAGGUGUGGUAACUGGGAUGUCGGUCUUUUAAAACCAUUAUUAUUGUCUGAAUACUAGAAAAAAAUUAGGUAGAAACUUUACAAAAGUCAAAAGUAAAAGAUAUGCUAAUUAUAAAAAAUCCCAAAAGGUGCUGAAAUAUAAUUAAGUGGGGUUUCUUUUACAAAAAAUUGUCUACGUAUUAGAAAAAAAAUAGGUAGGAACCUUUAUCUGUCAAACUGACUUUCGCCGCUUGAUAAAUGACGUGCAAAUUUGGAAAAUCUGAAAAGGUUUUAUUAGAAACUGAAUUAGGUAGUGUUUCUUCCGAAGGUAUUAUUAUUUUUAUUAAUAUUACUAUUAUUAUUAAUUUUAUUAUUAUUAUUAAUAAUAUUAUUAUUAUUUAAAUUCACAGAGGUAUGGUGUUUUUAAUUAUUACAAAUUAUAACAAAAUGUGUUGUUAGUAAAAUCUAUUUAUGUAGGGUUUCUUAAUAGGGAAAUUAAAACUUAUGGUAAAUCCAUAUUUCCAUUAUUUCUUAAAGUUUAACUGAAAAGUUCUUAAAUAACUUAGGUAGAAACUUUAUUUUGUCAUAAUGACUCUCUCCACAUGAUAAAAUUUAUGUAAAUUAUCUUAAAAAGUUCUUUAUUAAACACAGAAUUUGGAAUGGUUUCGGCAUUUACACCAUUUCAGGGUGUAAACUUUUGAAUAAGUGAAAGAUUAGCAACUUGAAAAUAUGACCUUUAAAACAUACAUUUUUCCGUCAAUGGCAAUGUGAUUAAAAAUCGGUUCAUUACUCUCUUUAAAUGUUUAAAAUUUUCGUACACGCUUUGCAUGUACACAAAACUUAAUUGAGAUGUUUUGGCAAUAAGCACUCAUUUAAAUUCUGCCCAUAUAAAGGGGUAGAGUUUUUUCGUGUUUGCCUAUUCAAGAUCGUAAAUUUCUUUAAAACUAAAAUAGGUAGCAACUUGAAAAAAUAUAAGGAAUAUUCAAAUUUCAAAAACCUAAAAAGGUGUUGUAUUGAUAACUAAAUUUAAAAAGUUUUCUUUAUGUGGCAAGCCCAUUAAAUAUUGUAAACUUCUGAAUAACAGGGAGGAAGGACUUUUAAUAAUCUGUAAUUCCUUUUUUUGUGUUAUUUCAUAAAAAAUUAUCUGUUAACCAGUAACAAUUUCGUAGAAAACACAAUAGGUAAAACUGACUUUCUCCAAAUGAUAAAAAUAUGCAAAUUUUAAAAAUCUAAAAAGGUGUAUUAAAAAAUAAAUUAAAAUGGGUUUCUCGACAAGGUACGCCCUUUCAAGGUUGUUUAUAAUCUGAAUAACUGCAAUAGUUGGCAACUCGGAAGGUAAGGACUUUUAAAACAUACUGAAAUCGCUCGUGACUUUUUGGUGCUGUUUCAUAAAAAAAGGUUUAUAAAUUCGUACAAAAUAAUGUAGGAACUUUAAUCUGUCAAACUGACUAUCUCCACUUCAUAAAAGGCACACAAAAUUAAAAAAUCAAAAUAAGUAUUAUAUUAAAUACUAAAAAAGGUAAGGUGUCUUAAUAAAAUUUGCCAAUGCAAGAUCGGCUUAUAUCUGAAAUAUUGAGAAAAUCGAAAGGCAGGGCUUUUAAAACAUAUGGUAAUCCCUCGUGACUUUUUGGGGUUAUUUCGUAAAAAAUUAUUAACGAAUUAGAGAAAAAUUAGGUAGGAACUUAAAUCGGUCGAACUGACUAUCCCCACUUCAUAAAUAUUUGCAAAAUUAAAAAAUCAAAAUAAGUGCUGUAUUAAAAACUGAAUAAGGUAGGGUGUCUUUAUAAGGUUUGCCCAUGCAAGAUCGUACACUUUUUAAUAUCUGAAAUAUUUAGAAAAUCGGAAAAUAGGGCUUUAAAAACAUAUGAUAAUCCCUCGUGAUUUUUUGGUGUUAUAUCGUAAGAAAUGGCUUACAAAUUAGUACAAAAUUAGGUAGGAACUUUAAUCUUUCAAACAGACUAUCUUCAUUUUAUAAAAAAUAUGCAAAUAUAUCAAAUUAAAAAAGUUGUUGUAUUAAAAACUACAUUAGGUAGGGUUUCUAAAUAAGGUCCUCCUCAUCAAGAUCGGAAACUAAAUAACUCUUAAAACAUACGGUAUUCCCUCGAGAUUUUUUAGUGUUAUUUCGUAAAAAAUGAUUUACGAAUUAGAACAAAAUUAGGUACGAACUUAAAUCGGUCGAACUGACUAUCUCGACUUCAUAAAAUAUAAGCAAAAUUAAAAAAAUCAAAAAUAGUGUGGUAUUAAAAACCAAACUAGGUAGGGUGUCUUAAUAAAAUUUGCCCAUGCGAACCUUUCUUCCAUUCAAGAUCGUAAACUUUUGUAUAACUAUAUUCCUCGUGAAUUUUUGGUAAUAUUUCGUAAAAAUGGUUUAAAAAAUAGUACAAAAUUAGGUAGGAACUUUAGUCUGCCACGCUGAUUACCUACAAUUCAUAAAAUAUAAAACUUUCUCCACAUAAUAAAAAAUUUAACAAAUCUAAAAAGUUGUUGUAUUGACAACUACAUUUUGAAAGGUUAUUUUAUAUGGCAAGCACAUUAAAGAUCGUAAUUUGGGAGGAAGGACUUUUAAAUACUACGGUAAUUUCUUGUGAUUUUGGUUUUAUUUCAUACAAAAUUAUCUGUUAACCAGUAACAAUUUCGUUGAAAAUGAAAUGUGUCAAACUGACUUUCUCCAAAUGAUAAAAAUAUGCAAAUUUUAAAAAUCUAAAAAGGUGUUUUAUAAACUAAAUAAAAAUGUGUUUCUCGACAAGGUCCGCCCAUUCAAGAUCGUAAACUUCUAAAUAACUGCAAUAGUUGGCAACAUUUCUAAAUAUCUGAUAUAUUUAGAAAAUCGCAAGGUAGGGCUUUUAAAACAUAUGGUAAUCCCUCGUGAUUUUUUGGUGUUAUAUCGUAAGAAAUGGCUUUCAAAUUAGUACAAAAUUAGGUAGGAACUUUUAUCUAUUAAAUGUGCUAUUUUAUCCACUGGAUAAAAUAUAUUCAAAUUUCCAAAGUCAAAAAAAGGUGUUGUAUUAAAACCUUAAUAAGGUAGGGUUUCUUAAUAAGGUUUGCCCAAUCAAGAUCGUAAACUUCUCAAUAGCUGAAAUUGUUACCAAUUCGACAUGUAGGACUUUUAAAACAUAUGGUAAUCCCUAGUGACUUUUUGGGGUUAUUUCGUAAAAAAGUAUUAACGAAUUAAAGAAAAAUUAGGUAGGAACUUAAAUCGGUCGAACCUACUAUCUCCACUUCAUAAAUAUUUGCAAAAUUAAAAAAUCAAAAUAAGUGCUGUAUUAAAAACUGAAUAAGGUAGGGUGUCUUUAUAAGGUUUGCCCAUGCAAGAUCGUACACUUUUUAAUAUCUGAAAUAUUUAGAAAAUCGGAAGGUAGGGCUUUAAAAACAUAUGAUAAUCCCUCGUGAUUUUUUGGUGUUAUAUCGUAAGAAAUGGCUUACAAAUUAGUACAAAAUUAGAAAGGAACUUUAAUCUUUCAAACAGACUAUCUUCAUUUUAUAAAAAAUAUGCAAAUAUAUCAAAUUAAAAAAGGUGUUGUAUUAAAAACUAAAUUAGGUAGGGUUUCUAAAUAAGGUCCUCCUCAUCAAGAUCGGAAACUAAAUAACUCUUAAAACAUACGGUAUUCCCUCGAGAUCUUUUUAGUGUUAUUUCGUAAAAAAUGAUUUAUAAAUCAGAACAAAAUUACGUAGGAACUUAAAUCGGUCGAACUGACUAUCUCGACUUCAUAAAAUAUAUGCAAAAUUAAAAAAAUCAAAAAUAGUGUGGUAUUGAAAACCAAACUAGGUAGGGUGUCUUAAUAAAAUGCCAAGCUGCAAAAUUAGGUAGGGUUUCUAAAUAAGGUCCUCCUCAUCAAGAUCGGAAACUAAAUAACUCUUAAAACAUACGGUAUUCCCUCGAGAUUUUUUAGUGUUAUUUCGUAAAAAAUGAUUUACGAAUUAGAACAAAAUUAGGUACGAACUUAAAUCGGUCGAACUGACUAUCUCGACUUCAUAAAAUAUAAGCAAAAUUAAAAAAAUCAAAAAUAGUGUGGUAUUAAAAACCAAACUAGGUAGGGUGUCUUAAUAAAAUUUGCCCAUGCGAACCUUUCUUCCAUUCAAGAUCGUAAACUUUUGUAUAACUAUAUUCCUCGUGAAUUUUUGGUAAUAUUUCGUAAAAAUGGUUUAAAAAAUAGUACAAAAUUAGGUAGGAACUUUAGUCUGCCACGCUGAUUACCUACAAUUCAUAAAAUAUAAAACUUUCUCCACAUAAUAAAAAAUUUAACAAAUCUAAAAAGUUGUUGUAUUGACAACUACAUUUUGAAAGGUUAUUUUAUAUGGCAAGCACAUUAAAGAUCGUAAUUUGGGAGGAAGGACUUUUAAAUACUACGGUAAUUCCUUGUGAUUUUGGUUUUAUUUCAUACAAAAUUAUCUGUUAACCAGUAACAAUUUCGUUGAAAAUGAAAUGUGUCAAACUGACUUUCUCCAAAUGAUAAAAAUAUGCAAAUUUUAAAAAUCUAAAAAGGUGUUUUAUAAACUAAAUAAAAAUGUGUUUCUCGACAAGGUCCGCCCAUUCAAGAUCGUAAACUUCUAAAUAACUGCAAUAGUUGGCAACAUUUCUAAAUAUCUGAUAUAUUUAGAAAAUCGCAAGGUAGGGCUUUUAAAACAUAUGGUAAUCCCUCGUGAUUUUUUGGUGUUAUAUCGUAAGAAAUGGCUUUCAAAUUAGUACAAAAUUAGGUAGGAACUUUUAUCUAUUAAAUGUGCUAUUUUAUCCACUGGAUAAAAUAUAUUCAAAUUUCCAAAGUCAAAAAAAGGUGUUGUAUUAAAACCUUAAUAAGGUAGGGUUUCUUAAUAAGGUUUGCCCAAUCAAGAUCGUAAACUUCUCAAUAGCUGAAAUUGUUACCAAUUCGACAUGUAGGACUUUUAAAACAUAUGGUAAUCCCUAGUGACUUUUUGGGGUUAUUUCGUAAAAAAGUAUUAACGAAUUAAAGAAAAAUUAGGUAGGAACUUAAAUCGGUCGAACCUACUAUCUCCACUUCAUAAAUAUUUGCAAAAUUAAAAAAUCAAAAUAAGUGCUGUAUUAAAAACUGAAUAAGGUAGGGUGUCUUUAUAAGGUUUGCCCAUGCAAGAUCGUACACUUUUUAAUAUCUGAAAUAUUUAGAAAAUCGGAAGGUAGGGCUUUAAAAACAUAUGAUAAUCCCUCGUGAUUUUUUGGUGUUAUAUCGUAAGAAAUGGCUUACAAAUUAGUACAAAAUUAGAAAGGAACUUUAAUCUUUCAAACAGACUAUCUUCAUUUUAUAAAAAAUAUGCAAAUAUAUCAAAUUAAAAAAGGUGUUGUAUUAAAAACUAAAUUAGGUAGGGUUUCUAAAUAAGGUCCUCCUCAUCAAGAUCGGAAACUAAAUAACUCUUAAAACAUACGGUAUUCCCUCGAGAUCUUUUUAGUGUUAUUUCGUAAAAAAUGAUUUAUAAAUCAGAACAAAAUUACGUAGGAACUUAAAUCGGUCGAACUGACUAUCUCGACUUCAUAAAAUAUAUGCAAAAUUAAAAAAAUCAAAAAUAGUGUGGUAUUGAAAACCAAACUAGGUAGGGUGUCUUAAUAAAAUGCCAAGCUGCAAAAUUAGGUAGGGUUUCUAAAUAAGGUCCUCCUCAUCAAGAUCGGAAACUAAAUAACUCUUAAAACAUACGGUAUUCCCUCGAGAUUUUUUAGUGUUAUUUCGUAAAAAAUGAUUUACGAAUUAGAACAAAAUUAGGUACGAACUUAAAUCGGUCGAACUGACUAUCUCGACUUCAUAAAAUAUAAGCAAAAUUAAAAAAAUCAAAAAUAGUGUGGUAUUAAAAACCAAACUAGGUAGGGUGUCUUAAUAAAAUUUGCCCAUGCGAACCUUUCUUCCAUUCAAGAUCGUAAACUUUUGUAUAACUAUAUUCCUCGUGAAUUUUUGGUAAUAUUUCGUAAAAAUGGUUUAAAAAAUAGUACAAAAUUAGGUAGGAACUUUAGUCUGCCACGCUGAUUACCUACAAUUCAUAAAAUAUAAAACUUUCUCCACAUAAUAAAAAAUUUAACAAAUCUAAAAAGUUGUUGUAUUGACAACUACAUUUUGAAAGGUUAUUUUAUAUGGCAAGCACAUUAAAGAUCGUAAUUUGGGAGGAAGGACUUUUAAAUACUACGGUAAUUCCUUGUGAUUUUGGUUUUAUUUCAUACAAAAUUAUCUGUUAACCAGUAACAAUUUCGUUGAAAAUGAAAUGUGUCAAACUGACUUUCUCCAAAUGAUAAAAAUAUGCAAAUUUUAAAAAUCUAAAAAGGUGUUUUAUAAACUAAAUAAAAAUGUGUUUCUCGACAAGGUCCGCCCAUUCAAGAUCGUAAACUUCUAAAUAACUGCAAUAGUUGGCAACAUUUCUAAAUAUCUGAUAUAUUUAGAAAAUCGCAAGGUAGGGCUUUUAAAACAUAUGGUAAUCCCUCGUGAUUUUUUGGUGUUAUAUCGUAAGAAAUGGCUUUCAAAUUAGUACAAAAUUAGGUAGGAACUUUUAUCUAUUAAAUGUGCUAUUUUAUCCACUGGAUAAAAUAUAUUCAAAUUUCCAAAGUCAAAAAAAGGUGUUGUAUUAAAACCUUAAUAAGGUAGGGUUUCUUAAUAAGGUUUGCCCAAUCAAGAUCGUAAACUUCUCAAUAGCUGAAAUUGUUACCAAUUCGACAUGUAGGACUUUUAAAACAUAUGGUAAUCCCUAGUGACUUUUUGGGGUUAUUUCGUAAAAAAGUAUUAACGAAUUAAAGAAAAAUUAGGUAGGAACUUAAAUCGGUCGAACCUACUAUCUCCACUUCAUAAAUAUUUGCAAAAUUAAAAAAUCAAAAUAAGUGCUGUAUUAAAAACUGAAUAAGGUAGGGUGUCUUUAUAAGGUUUGCCCAUGCAAGAUCGUACACUUUUUAAUAUCUGAAAUAUUUAGAAAAUCGGAAGGUAGGGCUUUAAAAACAUAUGAUAAUCCCUCGUGAUUUUUUGGUGUUAUAUCGUAAGAAAUGGCUUACAAAUUAGUACAAAAUUAGAAAGGAACUUUAAUCUUUCAAACAGACUAUCUUCAUUUUAUAAAAGAUAUGCAAAUAUAUCAAAUUAAAAAAGGUGUUGUAUUAAAAACUAAAUUAGGUAGGGUUUCUAAAUAAGGUCCUCCUCAUCAAGAUCGGAAACUAAAUAACUCUUAAAACAUACGGUAUUCCCUCGAGAUCUUUUUAGUGUUAUUUCGUAAAAAAUGAUUUAUAAAUCAGAACAAAAUUAGGUAGGAACUUAAAUCGGUCGAACUGACUAUCUCCACUUCAUAAAUAUUUGCAAAAUUAAAAAAUCAAAAUAAGUGCUGUAUUAAAAACUGAAUAAGGUAGGGUGUCUUUAUAAGGUUUGCCCAUGCAAGAUCGUACACUUUUUAAUAUCUGAAAUAUUUAGAAAAUCGGAAGGUAGGGCUUUAAAAACAUAUGAUAAUCCCUCGUGAUUUUUUGGUGUUAUACCGUAAGAAAUGGCUUACAAAUUAGUACAAAAUUAGGUAGGAACUUUUAUCUAUUAAAUGUGCUAUCUCCACCGGAUAAAAUAUAUUCAAAUUUCCAAAGUCAAAAAAAGGUGUUGUAUUAAAACCUUAAUAAGGUAGGGGUUCUAAAUAAGAUUUGCCCAAUCAAGAUCGUGAACUUCUCAAUAGCUGAAAUUGUUACCAAUUCGACAGGUAGCACUUUUAAAACAUAUGUUAAUCACUCGUGACUAUUUGGGGUUAUGUUGUAAAAAAUUAUUAACGAAUUAGAGAAAAAUUAGGUAGGAACUUAAAUCGGUCGAACUGACUAUCUCCACUUCAUAAAUAUUUGCAAAAUUAAAAAAUCAAAAUAAGUGCUGUAUUAAAAACUGAAUAAGGUAUUGUGUCUUUAUAAGGUUUGCCCAUGCAAGAUCGUACACUUUUUAAUAUCUGAAAUAUUUAGAAAAUCGGAAGGUAGGGCUUUAAAAACAUAUGAUAAUCCUUCGUGAUUUUUUGGUGUUAUAUCGUAAGAAAUGGCUUACAAAUUAGUAGAAAAUUAGAUAGGAACUUUAAUCUUUCAAACAGACUAUCUUCAUUUUAUAAAAAAUAUGCAAAUAUAUCAAAUUAAAAAAGGUGUUGUAUUAAAAACUAAAUUAGGUAGGGUUUCUAAAUAAGGUUCUCCUCGUCAAGUUCGGAAACUAAAUAACUCUUAAAACAUACGGUAUUCCCUUGAGAUUUUUUAGUGUUAUUUCGUAAAAAAUGAUUACGAAUUAGAACAAAAUUGCGAAGGAACUUAAAUCGGUCGAACUGACUCUCUCCACUUCAUAAAUAUUUGCAAACUUAAAAAAUCAAAAUAAGUGCUGUAUUGAAAACUGAAGGUUUGCCCAUGCAAGAUCGUACACUUUUUAAUAUCUGAAAUAUUUAGAAAAUCGCAAGGUAGGGCUUUAAAAACAUAUGAUAAUCCCUCGUGAUUUUUUGGUGUUAUAUCGUAAGAAAUGGCUUAGAAAUUAGAACAAAAUUAGAUAGGAAAUUUAAUCUUUCAAACAGACUAUCUUCAUUUUAUAAAAAAUAUGCAAAUAUAUCAAAUUAAAAAAGGUGUUGCAUUAAAAACUAAAUUAGGUAAAGUUUCUAAAUAAGGUCCUCCUCGUCAAGUUCGGAAACUAAAUAACUCUUAAAACAUAGGGUAAUCCCUCGUGAUUUUUUGGUUUUAUAUCGUAAGAAAUGGCUUUCAAAUUAGUACAAAAUUAGGUAGGGACUUUUAUCUAUUAAACUAGCUAUCUCCACUGGAUAAAAUAUAUUCAAAUUUCCAAAAUCAAAAAAAGGUGUUAUAUUAAAAUCUUAAUAAUGUAGGGUUUCUUAAUAAGGUUUGCCCAAUCAAGAUCGUAAACGUCUCAAUAGCUGAAAUUGUUACUAAUUCGACAGGUAGGACUUUUAAAACAUAUGGUAAUCCCUCGUGACUUUUUGGGGUUAUUUCGUAAAAAAUUAUUAACGAAUUAGAGAAAAAUUAGGUAGGAACUUAAAUCGGUCGAACUGACCAUCUCCACUUCAUAAAUAUAAUAUUUGCAAAACUAAAAAAUCAAAAUAAGUGCUGUAUUAAAAACUGAAUAAGGUAGGGUGUCUUUAUAAGGUUUGCCCAUGCAAGAUCGUACACUUUUUAAUAUCUGAAAUAUUUAGAAAAUCGCAAGGUAGGGCUUUUAAAACAUAUGGUAAUCCCUCGUGAUUUUUAUACCCUUGCAGAGGGUAUUAUAAUUUUGGUCAAAAGUGUGCAACGCAGUGAAGGAGACAUCUCCGACCCUAUAAAG